UGGGGGAAUAUUGCACAAUGGGCGCAAGCCUGAUGCAGCAACGCCGCGUGAGGGAUGACGGCCUUCGGGUUGUAAACCUCUUUUAGCAGGGAAGAAGCGAAAGUGACGGUACCUGCAGAAAAAGCACCGGCUAACUACGUGCCAGCAGCCGCGGUAAUACGUAGGGUGCAAGCGUUGUCCGGAAUUAUUGGGGCGUAAAGAGCUCGUAGGCGGUCUGUCGCGUCUGCUGUGAAAUCCCGAGGCUCAACCUCGGGCCUGCAGUGGGUACGGGCAGACUAGAGUGCGGUAGGGGAGAAUGGAACUCCUGGUGUAGCGGUGGAAUGCGCAGAUAUCAGGAAGAACACCGAUGGCGAAGGCAGUUCUCUGGGCCGUAACUGACGCUGAGGAGCGAAAAGCGUGGGGAGCGAACAGGAUUAGAUACCCUGGUAGUCCACGCCGUAAAACGUUGGGCGCUAGAUGUGGGGACCAUUCCACGGUUUCCGUGUCGCAGCUAACGCAUUAAGCGCCCCGCCUGGGGAGUACGGCCGCAA
This 530-nucleotide ribosomal RNA is filed under the name uncultured bacterium. Its description in RNAcentral is "partial 16S ribosomal RNA". It matches the Rfam family "Bacterial small subunit ribosomal RNA", at positions 354 to 891 of the family's 1533-position model. The record is from RNAcentral.